This 567-nucleotide non-coding RNA is filed under the name Pongo abelii (Sumatran orangutan). The record is from RNAcentral. Lineage: Eukaryota; Metazoa; Chordata; Mammalia; Primates; Hominidae.
GCAACAACUUUGAUGCUUUACGUGCUCAUAUAUUUUUUUCUCUGAGUUUAGGGAAAAAAUGUAGUGAUCACUAAAAACAAAACAGAGCUCACUUUCUUAAUGGGCUUUCAAAUUGGGAUAAUAGGAUGAAGCCAGAGACUUAAAAAUAUAACUGGGCUUCAUCCAACACACCUGACAGACAAAUCCCUGGGUCCAAAAUGGCUCAUUGGGGUCAGGCAUGGUGGCUCAUGCCUGUAAUCCCAACACUUUGGGAGGCUGAGGUGGGGAGGAUCACUUAGGCUCAGGAGGUUGAGGCUGCAUGAGCUGUGAUUGCGCCACUGCACUUCAGCCUAGGCAAUAAAGUGAGACUCUGUCUCAAAAAAUAAAAUAUAUUAACUGAAUAAAUUUUUUUUUUUUUUGAGAAGGAAUAUCGCUGUGUUGCCCAGGGCCUUCCCGUCUCGCGGUCCGGCCUCCCUCACCCGGAAGUGCUGGUCCCGGUACUGGCUCAGCUCCACGUAGGAGUCGCUGCGCAGCGCCUUCAGGAGGCCACCCGACAUAGUGCAGAGAAGCGGACGAGAAUGCAGCGAC